RNAcentral lists this long non-coding RNA (617 nucleotides) under Mus musculus (house mouse). RNAcentral describes it as "predicted gene, 48249". The record is from RNAcentral. Lineage: Eukaryota; Metazoa; Chordata; Mammalia; Rodentia; Muridae.
AUGUCCGCUGAUGUUGUGCUGGCUUCGGUCGUUAUGCUAUCGCAGGGCUAAGAACAAAACAACCAUUCAUCCUCUCUUGGGUACCAGCUCUGACGACCGAACAAAGCCGUUGACGACCAGCUCACCUGCGGUCUGUUGUGUCUGCACACCAUCCACCUGAGGUAGGGGCCCAAGUGUCCCUUCAUCAUUAAAGGCCAAAAUUGGUUUCAAAGGAAUUUCUGGGUUCUCAUUGGUGACAUCUAAUCUGGACGCUUUUGAUCCAACAGCGACUCCAUGUGGGCUCUCUGCAGACUCUCCGUUUCCUGAAGAGGCCAUACACGGCAGUGCAGGUACUUCUGCAUGCAGCGAGGAGAGCAAACCGUUACUAAUAUGCCACCAUCAAACCCACCCUCUAGGCACCAGAACCUGGAUAUCUGACCUGACUGUACAACUCACUGCCUGUGGGAUGUUGGGCAAAUGAAACAAACCCUAAUCCUUCCUGGAUAACAGUACCUGCCUGACAGGCUACUAACUGUGCUAACAUGGGCAAAGUUUUCACUGCUCGGCCGACUGAAGGGCAGAAAUAACCGUUACUAUUAUUUUGUUUGUACUAAGUUAGGUCUGGACAUUGACACUGA